Molecule: ribosomal RNA, 458 nt
Filed under: uncultured bacterium
Lineage: Bacteria
Description: partial 16S ribosomal RNA
Rfam family: Bacterial small subunit ribosomal RNA
Source: RNAcentral
CCUACGGGCGGCAGCAGUGAGGAAUAUUGGUCAAUGGACGAGAGUGAACCAGCCAAGUAGCGUGAAGGAUGACUGCCCUAUGGGUUGUAAACUUCUUUUAUAAAGGAAUAAAACGAGGCACGUGUGCCUUUUUGCAUGUACUUUAUGAAUAAGGAUCGGCUAACUCCGUGCCAGUAGCCGCGGUAAUACGGAGGAUCCGAGCGUUAUCCGGAUUUAUUGGGUUUAAAGGGAGCGUAGAUGGGUUGGUAAGUCAGUUGUGAAAGUUUGCGGCUCAACCGUAAAAUUGCAAUUGAUACUGGCAGGCUUGAGUACAGUUGAGGUAAGCGGAAUUCGUGGUGUAGCGGUGAAAUGCUUAGAUAUCACGAAGAACCCCGAUUGCGAAGGCAGCUUACUAAACUGUGACUGACAUUGAUGCUCGAAAGUGUGGGUAUCAAACAGGAUUAGAUACCCCGGUAGUC